GGCCUUGUUCCUGUCCCCA
RNAcentral lists this microRNA (19 nucleotides) under Homo sapiens (human). RNAcentral's name for it is "hsa-miR-4312". The record is from miRBase by way of RNAcentral. Lineage: Eukaryota; Metazoa; Chordata; Mammalia; Primates; Hominidae.